ACUCGAGUGGCGAACGGGUGAGUAACACGUGGGUGAUCUGCCCUGCACUUCGGGAUAAGCUUGGGAAACUGGGUCUAAUACCGGAUAGGAGCCAUCUUUAGUGUGGUGGUUGGAAAGUUUUUUCGGUGUAGGAUGAGCUCGCGGCCUAUCAGCUUGUUGGUGGGGUAAUGGCCUACCAAGGCGGCGACGGGUAGCCGGCCUGAGAGGGUGUACGGCCACAUUGGGACUGAGAUACGGCCCAGACUCCUACGGGAGGCAGCAGUGGGGAAUAUUGCACAAUGGGCGCAAGCCUGAUGCAGCGACGCCGCGUGGGGGAUGAAGGCCUUCGGGUUGUAAACUCCUUUCGCUAGGGACGAAGCUUUGUGUGACGGUACCUAGAUAAGAAGCACCGGCUAACUACGUGCCAGCAGCCGCGGUAAUACGUAGGGUGCGAGCGUUGUCCGGAAUUACUGGGCGUAAAGAGCUCGUAGGUGGUUUGUCGCGUCGUCUGUGAAAUUCUGGGGCUUAACUCCGGGCGUGCAGGCGAUACGGGCAUAACUUGAGUGCUGUAGGGGUAACUGGAAUUCCUGGUGUAGCGGUGAAAUGCGCAGAUAUCAGGAGGACACCGAUGGCGAAGGCAGGUUACUGGGCAG
This 632-nucleotide ribosomal RNA is filed under the name uncultured Actinomycetales bacterium. RNAcentral's name for it is "bacterial SSU rRNA". It matches the Rfam family "Bacterial small subunit ribosomal RNA", at positions 89 to 736 of the family's 1533-position model. The record is from RNAcentral. Lineage: Bacteria; Bacillati; Actinomycetota; Actinomycetes; Actinomycetales.